Molecule: long non-coding RNA, 5426 nt
Organism: Erinaceus europaeus (western European hedgehog)
Lineage: Eukaryota; Metazoa; Chordata; Mammalia; Eulipotyphla; Erinaceidae
Exons: 2
Source: RefSeq, a predicted model, not a curated record
UAGAUUGUGCAACUUUUUAUAUACCUUAGAGACUGUUGGGCUUUAUCUCAUUAAUUACUUAAAAAACAUGGCAUACUAUAUAUGUUGGCAGCUGAAAUGAUUUCAAAAAAGAAAUGCAUGUUGUGUUACCCUGCUCUUCAGAAUGAGUAAUCUAGUAAUGGAAAAAUUAUUGGGGGAAAUGUUGGUCUCUCUCAGAUGUCCAGGAGGCUAGAGGAGUUGAGAGUGUUAGAACAUCUGAUGUGUGGAGCAUCUCAGAGAGAAUCAGGGAUAAAGGUUCCAGCUUCUGAAAUGCUUGUCUCCUGCUAUUUAAAUCCUUGUUUCCUAGUAAACAUGGUUCCUUAUCAAGACUGAGCUACAAACAGACUUGUAGAUGCAGUGUGAUUCUCCUUGAAUUCUUAGAUGGGAUCUAAGAUCCCUGUAGAUUACGUUUGGCAUUAGUGGUAAAGGAAGUUUAUGCUUCAGCUUUCCUACCACCAACAAUCAGUUAGGAGAGUGAGGCCCUACCAUGUAAAAGAAAACUUUAAAAUGCCUAGAGUAUGUGAUUUAGCUCUUAAAAUCAAGGCAAAGGUAGACUAGCAUAGUCAUAGAUUUAUCUAAGUGGGCCCUCAUUAAGACUUCCUACUGUAAAUAGCCACUUUUUAAAUAAAGAAUGCCUAUUUGGUUCAGGUCUGCAUUGUUGUAGGAGUAGAGACACCAGGAUCCCUUGGCAAGGACCUACCUCACUCUAAAAGAAACCCAGAUUAGAAUUCCAAGGUACAAACAACCUCAUACUUCAUGCAGUUGAGUGAUCCUGUUCCCCUUGUAGAAUCUAGAGUACCUUUGAGCUGAGAAUAAUUUUUGAUUUCUAAAUUAUUUGGUUUUUUUUUUUUUUAAGUGAAUGAUAUGCAACAGAAACUAUAUGGCCUUAAGAAACUAGAAUAUUUGAGCAGGGCACCAAAGUAAAAAUCUCUGGGUGGAGGGUGAGGAUAGAUGUUCAGCUUCACUGGUGGGGUUGGGGGGAGGAUAACGACAACAGCACAGACCUUUGGUAGUAAGGAUGGUGUUAAUACACACUCCUAUUACCUUAUAGUCUCACAAAUCACUUUAAUUAAUAUUAGAGGGGUGAAAUGGUUCAAAUGUCUCAAACCUUUUGAUGCACAGACCAUAGCUCUUUUUAAAACUUUUUUUAUUAUCUUUAUAUAUUGGAUAGAGACAGCCAGAAAUCAAGAGGGAAGGGGGUGAUAGAGAGGAAGAGAGACAGAGAGACACCUGCAACCCUGCUUCACCACUCAUGAAGCUUUCCCUCUGCGGAUCGGGGGCUCGAACCUUGCGCAUUGUAAUACGUGUGCUUAACCAGGUGCACCACCACCCGGCCCCCAGAUCAUAGCUCUUAAGUAUAUGUUCCUUCAGUCUAAGCACUUAAAACUUCAAAUUGAUAAUCAGAUUGAAUUUUAACAGCGGGCUCAAAUUGCUAAUACAUUUCUAAUGACAUGUUCUUUGAAAUAUUACAUCUUCUAAAGGCUUAGACAAGGGCGAACAGAAACAACUGAUGAUGUCACUUUAUAAAAUGCAGCUAUAUGUAAAUAGCAUAAAAGGACAUAAAUUAUGGUGAGGUCUUGUAUGAUACAGCAAAUGCUAACUAAGGGAUUUUCAAAGUUAACCCAAUUGCUAGAUAAUGUGGUUAUAGCAAUAACUAUCUACUGCAUUCUUAAACCAUUAGACAGCAGGAACCUUCCCCUUUCUUAUAAAGCCCAUAUUUCUCCCAGGCCUGGACCUAGGGUGGGGCUCACUUUUCUGCAUGCUUCUCUCAAUUCAUACCAACUGAUACUGCAUCUGCUGAUCCCAACCUAAUCAAUGCAACCAGCACGACUUCAGUAUGACAUCAGGAGUGAAAUGUCAGCCCUUCAGCUUCAUUACUCUGGUGAGACCUUUCCUAUCUAAUAGGACUCCUUAAUUUCAUUUCAGGUGGUGCACUUCUUAACAAAACCUCAAAACCUAGCUAUAGGCCAGGGCCCAUGAGAUAGGGCAUAUGUACAUGUAUCUGUAAGCUGGGGAAAAAUAUAUACCUUAUAAAGCAAAAGUGCACAAUAGUGAGAGUUGGGCAGUAGCACAGUGGGUUAAGUGCACGUGGCACAAAGUGCAAGGACCUAAGGAAGGAUCCUGGUUCGAGCCCCCGGCUCCCCACCCCCGCAGGGGAGUCACUUCACAAGCGGUGAAGCAGGUCUGUAGGUGUCUGUCUUUCUCUCCCCCUCUCUGUCUUCCCCUCCUCUCUCCAUUUCUCUCUGUCCUAUCCAACAACAACAAUAAUAACUACAACAGUAAAGCAACAAGAGCAACAAAGGAAUAAACAAAUAUUUUUAAAAAAAUUUUUUAAGUGCACAGUAGUUUGCCGUGAGUCAAAAAAUACAGCAAACAAGUAGAAAGACUUAAAAUGACACCUUAAAGUUCCUAAUGAAACAGUUUCUCCUUAGACCUAGAUACCCUUCUCACCUACCUCCUAUUAGAGAUCCCUCAAUCACUCCAAAGCUAACCUUGUUAAACAAAGUAAGGACUACAAAAGCUGAAUAAGGGCAAGAGACCAUCAUACUUUAAAGAUGACUCUUUAGUCACUAUCGGCACCCUAUCACCUGGGGCCCUAGUCAGGGAGUCCCGAGAUUCUCACACAGACAUGAUGGGCCUAGAUCUCUAACAGAUCCCUCUCGCCACUGUCACUAGUCAUCUUCAUCAGGAACAACAUAAUGGGCCCCUUUGUGGGCCCCUAUAGUACCUUGCCUUCUGUGUGGGUCAACAAUGGUAGGGAAUGUUCCAUUCUCCGAAGGGAGGCUGGACAACAUACUCUACCUACUACCCGAGGAAGAUGGGUCUGGAAAUUAGUGCAGCCUGGUAUUUUCCUAGCCAUGACCACAGAAUACAAGCUCAGACCUACAGAGAUGCAGAGGUUACAUAGGCUCCUGUGCAGGUCAGAUCAAUGGGGUUUACAGUUAACAAUAUUUAUAUACUUUCCUACUCUCUUCCCUGAUCCAGCUUUCUAGUCCUUUUUCCAACUAUGACACCAUUUCCCCAGACAAUAACCUGGGAUCCACUAGCAUAUUAGCCUUCUGGCUCAGACAAAAACUAGUAAAGUCAUGGGCUCCUUAGAAUAUACCUAAAAUAGACCUACUAGCUUUUUCUAAAAUGGAGACCCCAAAGCUUUAUCUGCAAUAUUGUUGCCUUUAGGUUCAUAAUUAGUCAACAAUUUGCUCUGCUUUAUAUCUUAACUCUUUUUCAGCCACCAGGUUCUAGAUGAUCCCAUGAUGCCAACCUGACUUCCCUGGGCAGAUGACCCCACCAUGUGUCCUGGAGCCCCACCUCCCCAGAUCCCUGCCUCACUAGGGAAAGAGAGAGACAAGCUGGGAAUAUGGAUCGACCUGCCAAUGCCCAUAUUCAGUGGGGAAGCAAUUACAGAACCUUCCACCUUCUGCACCCCAUAAUGAUCCUGGGUCCAUGCUCCUAGAGGGAUAAAGUAUAGGGAAGUUAUUAAGGAACUGCAUUGGAUAUGGAGUUCUGGUGGUAGGAAUUGUGUGGAAUUGUACCUCUCUUAUCCUAUAGUCUUGUCAGUAUUUCCAUUUUAUAAAUAAAAAUUUAAAAGAAGUAAAAUUUAAAAAACUAGAAUAUUUUACCUAAAAGCACCUUUCCAAAGAUGUUUACUAACUCCUGUGGGAGCAGUUUUAUUCUAGAAAGGAUGUAGGGGUACCUCGGAGAUGUAUAAUGAGGUUUAGUUUCAGACCAAGAUAAAGAUACUGGCACAGUAAAAUGAAUCACACCAUUAGUUGUUUCCCACUGCACAUAAAAGUUAUGUUUGCAUUAUACUGUAACUACUAUAGUCUUUUAAGUGCAAUUACAGUGUAUCUUUAAAAAAAAAGAUUAUUACAGAUAACAGGAAGUGACCACAUGCUUUUGAGAAAAGAGCAAUAAACUUGUUCAAAGCAGAGUUGCCACAAGCCUUCCCUAUGUAGAAAAUGAAAUAUUUUCGGGAUGCAAAAAUACAAGAUAUGCCUGUGUAGAGGAAGUAUCAUCUUCUGAAUUGAAGGAGUUGUUAUUGAUAGAUACAAAAUAGGUAAGGAAAAUGACUUCAAACUUAAAAAAAUAUGUGAUAUUUAUGUAGCAGAAUUUCACUUUUUAUCUUUUCAAGAUCAGCUUUCUAAUAAAUAUGGAAAAAAUUACCCCCUUUAAAAUAUUUUUUGUUUUACUUUAAUGAGAAAGGUAAGAGGAAGAAAGAUAUACAGAGAGAGAGAAAGGGAGAGACAGCAGAAUAUUUCUCAGUUCUGCCUGAACUGAGAAUGCUGGGGAAUGCUGGGGAAUUGAACCUGGGAUUUAGAGCCUCAGGAAUGAGUCUUUCUGAAUAACCAUUAAGCUAUCUCUAUUGGUCCCCUCCCACUCCCCUCCCCGCACCCACCAGUGCUGUGCAGGAGUUUCACUGUUGUCAGGCUAUAGUCAUGAGGUCUUGGUUAGGGGCUCACAGCUCUGCUCAGGUGUCCCCCCUCUCUGGGAUGAAGGCAGGCUGGCUGAGAAGCAGCAAGGGGUAAGCAGUCUUCUGAGUAGUAGUGAUGAUUCAGGAAAAGAACCUGUAUCAGAUAAGCACUGGCCAAAAAGGCAGUCAUCUCUGAAUACUGGUAAUACAAAACAAGAGAAAUUGGACUGUUGGGAGCCAGCUAAAAGCCAUCCAGGACAAAGACUUUAUUAAAUCUUGGUAGAUGCUCUGCUACGGUAAUGCUGCUGCUCCCUCGCCAAGGGACAUUCCCUGACUUUACGAUCCAUUUAAGGACACGUUAAUAUAAAUUGCAAAUAACUGAUUUCUACCAGUGUUUGGUUGUUUCGCUUCUACACAUCUUCAUCCCUAAAUUGCUUUAGGCAACACUUUCCAACUUGUGGGUAAACUAAGGAAACUGACCACUACCUAUUGUUCACACAUGUGCACUCAGACCGCCAUGCUCUUGAUUAAUGGAUAUUUAAACUCAGGCCUACACAGAGCUGUUUUUCUGGUAAGAAGAACGCUUCACUUAGAAACUUUAUAAAAGGAAAAUGUGUUUUCCAAACUUCAAAAUUCAGCUUUAGAUGUGAUGAUGUGUAAUGAAGUAAAACCUGCCUAUAAAUUAUUUUGCUACCUAUUUCUCUUUUAGUGUUUUCUGUUUUGCAGUGUUGAUUUUUUCCUUUCGGUUAUAAGUGGUGUGACUAACCAAGGAGAGUGUUCUGUAGCUAAGAUUAUAUUUUACAGUUAGAAAUGACAAACUGUGGGAGCACAUGUAAAUUUUUUUUUUAAUUUAUUUAUAUUAUGUUUUCUCUCUGAGAUAAAACCCAUUACCUUUGGGGGAGUUGAUGUGCUGUCAUUUCACUUCCUAUGCUUGGCCACCCCAAGUUGUCACAGUUGGACACGGGUUGAGAAUCAAUAAAAUUAAUUUACUAGCUGA